Molecule: ribosomal RNA, 460 nt
Filed under: uncultured bacterium
Lineage: Bacteria
Description: partial 16S ribosomal RNA
Rfam family: Bacterial small subunit ribosomal RNA
Source: RNAcentral
CCUACGGGAGGCAGCAGUGAGGAAUAUUGGUCAAUGGACGAGAGUCUGAACCAGCCACGUCGCGUGAAGGAUGACUGCCCUCUGGGUUGUACACUUCUUUUAUAAUGGAAUAAAACGCGGCACGUGUGCCUUUUUUCAUGUACUUUAUGAAUAAGGCUCGGCUAACUCCGUGCCAGCAGCUGCGGUAAUACGGAGGAUCUGAGCGUUAUCCGGAUUUCUUGGGUGUAAAGGGAGCGAAGGUGGAUGGUUAAGUCAGUUGUGAAAGUUUGCGGCUCAACCGUAAAAUUGCAGUUGAAACUGGCAGGAUUGAGUACAGGAGAGGUGGGCGGAAUUCGUGGUGUAGCGGGGAAAUGCUUAGAUAUCACGAAGAACUCCGAUUGCGAAGGCAGCUCACUGGACUGCAACUGACACUGAGGCUCGAAAGUGUGGGUAGCAAACAGGAUUAGAUACCCGGGUAGUC